CUAAGCACUUGAACCCGAAGACGUGUAUUGUUGUGGAAAAGAUGCAGGAUUUGAGACGAUACAGAGUUCAUGCAGGUGGUAGAAGAGGAAGAGGUCAAAGAAGGAACAUGAAAGAAACACAAGAGGCUUACUCGUUGAAGAUGGCUAUAGUGUAGUGCUUCAAACUCCAAGUUGGCAAGUUCUGGGCUUCUGGCUGAGGGACUCUCUUCUAUUGUAAUCCAGAGAGUCAAAGAUGGUCAACUUUUGCUGAGGGAAGUGAAUCUCACUUCCCAGGUCUCCCUUCCCAGGCCAAAGAAGUUUCCAGUAUGGACUGCAGCUGCAUAAGGAUUCUUUUCAAAAUUCAUCAGCGCAUCCAAGUUCGUAAAAGUGUUGGCGUAGAACUUAUCUUUCAUUGGAAAGUAAAGGGACAACAUCCCCAGCGACUUAAAGAUGACCAAUCAACCUUUGUCUGAAAAGGAAGGUGAAUCUCUUAUCCCAGGCACCAAGAAGUUUUCAUCAUGGAAUCCUGCUUCAUAUUACACCUACCUCAUGAUUCAUCAACUUCCACAAACAGGACUAUGGGAAUUAGACUUAUUAUAUCUAAGUUUUCAUCAUGGGCUCUUGCUUGAUAAGACUUUGUUCACGAUUCAUUAAAGGACAAGUCCACCCGGGGGGGGGCACUCAAAUUGUUUUUUGAUGGGGUGUGCCUCCCGAAACUCUGAAAUGGGGGUCUAAGGAACUGACUAAAAGGGUAAAAUACGGGUCUUGGGAAGUAAAUAUACCGAACGGUGUGAAAAACAGGGUCUACGGAAUGGGAUCGCGGCACUAUACGUUGCACAAUAUAUAGCGCUGUGCAUGCGCUCGCCAUGCAUAGAGCGGCUACUAGUUAUUAUGUAGGGAGUUGCAAAGACGUACGUGCAUCUCUCGAAUGCAGUGGUCGCGCUGGACAAUUUUGGUAGGGCUAGAGAACUGAGAUGUCUCGUAACAGGGGUCUUGCGAGCGCGACUGGGCGGCUUCUGAACUGAACUUUUGUCAUUCGGAGUAUCUAGAGAACUGAAACUUGAGUCUGAAAAAGGGGGUCAUCAAUACGUCACAUCCCCGUAUCACCAAUAUAUGCGAGUGCCUCUUCCGGUUGGUAUGCAAAUGAUGACUGAGGGCUGAUGACAAAACCCUCUGACUUUCUUUUGUAUUUUAUUAAAUGAAAUAUGAAAUAUUUAAAAUAUUAAAAAAAAUGUAUCACAAUUC
This 1224-nucleotide unclassified non-coding RNA is filed under the name Lytechinus variegatus (green sea urchin). RNAcentral describes it as "uncharacterized LOC121413209, transcript variant X1". The record is from RNAcentral. Lineage: Eukaryota; Metazoa; Echinodermata; Echinoidea; Temnopleuroida; Toxopneustidae.